CAAAUUUGGCAAUCCAAGUCUUAUUAAACCGGCCAAUCCAUGUAUGCCACGUAGGCGAGCACAUGGAUUGUGCUUCUUUAGAUUCAAUCUCAGCCUUACAAUCUAAUCUAAUGGCCUUAAUUUAAUUCAUCCUUUUACUAUUAUAUAUAUAUAUAUGUAUUAUUUAUUAUUUAUUAUUUUAUUUUUUUAACUCUUUAUUUUUACCAACCGUCCGAUCAAAUGAUCGGACGGCCCAAAUUAAAUCCCAAAGUUGUCAUCCGUCCCAAAAAAUAGUACAAGCUUUUCCUUUUCCAAGACAUGGCCCCUUUCCCAGAACAUCAUAUCCCAUACGACUUCUCCUCCUUCCCAUCGAUCCCUCUCUCCUCUGCCAUUGUUUCCGCCUACAGACCACCGGAAAAUGGCAAUUUCCGGUGGUCAUCAAUAUAUCUCCCCACACCGUCCAUCAAUCCUCAACCUCCUCCUAUAAACUUUAAGUCCCCUCCAUCACUUUUCUCUACCACGACCGUCAAUAAUCCCACCUUUUUCCUUAUUUUUACAUCGAAAAGAAAACCCAAGAACAGAUCUCAAGUCUGAGAAGCCGAAAGGGUGAUCUUUUCAAAGAUUUCACUCGUUCCUUGCUUUACACUAUGGAUUUUGAUAAUUUUGAGUUUCAAAUCCGGAUUUUUGGAAGUCCGAAUUUUGCCUAUAUAAGAGGUGUUUUGCCUCAUUCGAAAGGGAGGGGGAUGAACAUCCAAAGGUAAUCCAC
This 745-nucleotide long non-coding RNA is filed under the name Solanum tuberosum (potato). RNAcentral describes it as "long non-coding RNA (STUB_LNC007023)". Lineage: Eukaryota; Viridiplantae; Streptophyta; Magnoliopsida; Solanales; Solanaceae. The record is from RNAcentral.